CACCAGCCCUUGAAGCACUGGACAGCAUGCAUCCUUGGCACUGCUGCCAAUUCCAAUGUGAAUGAGGCCACCCAACACAUCCACACAAGCUCCCAACUUGAGAGUGUCGAUGGGACACGUGUUCUUUGGUGGUGAUGGGGUUGGCACUGGUGUUGGUGGUGGUGGAGGAGGACAUGGUGUCUCAGUGGGUGGAGGAGGCUUAACUGGUACAACUGGGGUAGGUGUAGGUGUUGGUGGGCUUGGUGGUACAACAGGUGGUGAUGGUGGUGGCUUAACUGGUACAACUGGGGUAGGUGUUGGUGUUGGUGGGCUUGGUGGUACAACAGGUGGUGAUGGUGGUGGCUUAACUGGUACAACUGGGGGCUUGGGUACAUAGGGUGGUGGGGGUUGUACAACUGGGGGCUUGGGUACAUAUGGUGGUGGUGGUUGUACAACUGGGGGUUUGGGGAUGAAGGGUGGGUGCACAAUUGGGGGUUUAGGGAUAAAAGGUGGGUGCACGAUUGGGGGCUUGGGGAUGAAGGGUGGGUGCACAAUUGGGGGCUUGGGGAUGAAGGGUGGGUGCACAAUUGGGGGUUUAGGGAUGAAGGGUGGGUGCACAAUUGGGGGUUUAGGGAUGAAGGGUGGGUGCACAAUUGGGGGUUUAGGGAUGAAGGGUGGGUGCACAAUUGGGGGCUUGGGGAUGAAGGGUGGGUGCACAAUUGGGGGCUUGGGGUGGGGUGGUGGUUUGACAAUAGGAGGCUUGGGGAUGAAGGGAGGUCUCACAAUAGGUGGUUUGGGGACAGAAGGAGGUUUUGGUAUAUGGGGAGGAUAUACAAUGGGGGGUUUGGGGCCAUGAGGUGGCUUGGGUACAUGGGGUGGAUGAGGAUGAGGUGGCUUUGAUGGUGGCUUGGGAACAUAGGGAGGCUUUACAUGAGGGGGAUGGGGUGGUUUUGAUGGUGGUUUGGGAACAUAGGGAGGCUUUACAUGAGGAGGAAGAGGUGGUUUUGAUGGUGGUUUGGGAACAGAGGGAGGCUUUACAUGAGGGGGAUGAGGUGGGUGUUUAGGUGGUUUAGGGAUGAAGGGUGGCUUUACAUGAGGAGGCUGUUUGGGUGGCAAGUGUGGAGGGUAUGUUGGUGGUGGACAGUAGGAGUUAGCAAGAGAAGUGAGCAAACUACCCAAAUUCACAAUGAGGACUAAGAGCAAAGCCAGG
This 1189-nucleotide long non-coding RNA is filed under the name Prunus persica (peach). RNAcentral describes it as "long non-coding RNA (PPER_LNC003776)". The record is from RNAcentral. Lineage: Eukaryota; Viridiplantae; Streptophyta; Magnoliopsida; Rosales; Rosaceae.